RNAcentral lists this ribosomal RNA (39 nucleotides) under Arion wiktori. RNAcentral's name for it is "partial 5.8S ribosomal RNA". Lineage: Eukaryota; Metazoa; Mollusca; Gastropoda; Stylommatophora; Arionidae. The record is from RNAcentral.
UAACUUUGUGCGGUGGAUCACUCGGCUCGUGUCGAUGAA